Oncorhynchus nerka (sockeye salmon) is the source of this 251-nucleotide long non-coding RNA. RefSeq lists it as uncharacterized. NCBI's taxonomy places the organism in Eukaryota, Metazoa, Chordata, Actinopteri, Salmoniformes, Salmonidae. The record is from RefSeq and is a predicted model, not a curated record. The transcript is spliced from 3 exons.
AACCCAGGAGUGUGUAGCCCAGGCCAGUGUAUUGAUACGUUGGGAAGCUAUCGCUGUAUCUGCCCCAAUGGUUUCAAGGCUACAUCAGACCUGGCUAUGUGUAUAGAUGUGGAUGAGUGUGAGAGACAGCCAUGUGGAAACGGGACCUGUAAGAACACAGUGGGAUCCUAUAACUGCCUGUGUUAUCCAGGCUUUCAGCUCUCACACAACAAUGACUGCAUAGAUACGGAUGAGUGUUCGAGCCAGAGAGG